ACUUAAGCAUAUCAAUAAGCGGAGGAAAAGAAACCAACAGGGAUUGCUCUAGUAACGGCGAGUGAAGCAGCAAUAGCUCAAAUUUGAAAUCUGGCGUCUUCGACGUCCGAGUUGUAAUUUGUAGAGGAUGCUUCUGAGUAACCACCGACCUAAGUUCCUUGGAACAGGACGUCAUAGAGGGUGAGAAUCCCGUAUGCGGUCGGAAAGGUGCUCUACACGUAGCUCCUUCGACGAGUCGAGUUGUUUGGGAAUGCAGCUCUAAAUGGGAGGUAAAUUUCUUCUAAAGCUAAAUAUUGGCCAGAGACCGAUAGCGCACAAGUAGAGUGAUCGAAAGAUGAAAAGCACUUUGGAAAGAGAGUUAAAAAGCACGUGAAAUUGUUAAAAGGGAAGGGAUUGCAACCAGACUUGCUCGCGGUGUUCCGCCGGUCUUCUGACCGGUCUACUCGCCGCGUUGCAGGCCAGCAUCGUCUGGUGCCGCUGGAUAAGACUUGAGGAAUGUAGCUCCCUCGGGAGUGUUAUAGCCUCUUGUGAUGCAGCGAGCGCCGGGCGAGGUCCGCGCUUCGGCUAGGAUGCUGGCGUAAUGGUCGUAAUCCGCCCGUCUUGAAACACGGACCAAGGAGUCUAACAUCUAUGCGAGUGUUCGGGUGUCAAACCCCUACGCGUAAUGAAAGUGAACGGAGGUGAGAACCGCAAGGUGCAUCAUCGACCGAUCCUGAUGUCUUCGGAUGGAUUUGAGUAUGAGCAUAGCUGUUGGGACCCGAAAGAUGGUGAACUAUGCCUGAAUAGGGUGAAGCCAGAGGAAACUCUGGUGGAGGCUCGCAGCGGUUCUGACGUGCAAAUCGAUCGUCAAAUUUGGGUAUAGGGGCGAAAGACUAAUCGAACCAUCUAGUAGCUGGUUCCUGCCG
Molecule: ribosomal RNA, 905 nt
Filed under: Cladosporium sp.
Lineage: Eukaryota; Fungi; Ascomycota; Dothideomycetes; Cladosporiales; Cladosporiaceae
Description: LSU rRNA
Rfam family: Eukaryotic large subunit ribosomal RNA
Source: RNAcentral